Molecule: ribosomal RNA, 259 nt
Filed under: uncultured bacterium
Lineage: Bacteria
Description: partial 16S ribosomal RNA
Rfam family: Bacterial small subunit ribosomal RNA
Source: RNAcentral
UACGUAGGGGGCUAGCGUUGUCCGGAUUUAUUGGGCGUAAAGAGCUCGUAGGCGGUCUGUCGCGUCGAAUGUGAAAACCCGGGGCUCAACCCCGGGCCUGCAUUCGAUACGGGCAGACUAGAGUUCGGUAGGGGAGUCUGGAAUUCCUGGUGUAGCGGUGAAAUGCGCAGAUAUCAGGAGGAACACCGGUGGCGAAGGCGGGACUCUGGGCCGAUACUGACGCUGAGGAGCGAAAGCGUGGGGAGCGAACAGGAUUAGA